AGCGAACGCUGGCGGCAGGCCUAACACAUGCAAGUCGAACGAACUCUUCGGAGUUAGUGGCGGACGGGUGAGUAACACGUGGGAACGUGCCUUUUGGUUCGGAAUAACUCAGGGAAACUUGUGCUAAUACCGAAUGUGCCCUUCUGGGGAAAGAUUUAUCGCCAUUAGAGCGGCCCGCGUCUGAUUAGCUUGUUGGGGAGGUAACGGCUCACCACGGCGACGAUCAGUAGCUGGUCUGAGAGGAUGACCAGCCACACUGGGACUGAGACACGGCCCAGACUCCUACGGGAGGCAGCAGUGGGGAAUCUUGCGCAAUGGGCGAGAGCCUGACGCAGCCAUGCCGCGUGAAUGAUGAAGGUCUUAGGAUUGUAAAAUUCUUUCAACGGGGACGAUAAUGACGGUACCCGGAGAAGAAGCCCCGGCUAACUUCGUG
RNAcentral lists this ribosomal RNA (433 nucleotides) under uncultured bacterium. Its description in RNAcentral is "partial 16S ribosomal RNA". It matches the Rfam family "Bacterial small subunit ribosomal RNA", at positions 29 to 507 of the family's 1533-position model. The record is from RNAcentral.